GCAGGCUGCAACUCGCCUGCAUGAAGUCGGAAUGCUAGUAAUCGCGGAUCAGCAUGCCGCGGUGAAUACGUUCUCGGGCCUUGUACACACCGCCCGUCACACCAUGGGAGUCGGUAACACCCGAAGUCUGUAGCCUGACGCAAAGAGGGCGCAGCCGAAGGUGGGAUUGAUGACUGGGGUGAAGUCGUAACAAGGUAGC
Molecule: ribosomal RNA, 199 nt
Filed under: uncultured bacterium
Lineage: Bacteria
Description: partial 16S ribosomal RNA
Rfam family: Bacterial small subunit ribosomal RNA
Source: RNAcentral